Molecule: long non-coding RNA, 584 nt
Organism: Eptesicus fuscus (big brown bat)
Lineage: Eukaryota; Metazoa; Chordata; Mammalia; Chiroptera; Vespertilionidae
Exons: 4
Source: RefSeq, a predicted model, not a curated record
GGCCUCUGGCCAGGCCGGGGCGCAGAACACUUGCAUAAGAAGAGAAGGAACCGGUGAGCUGAGCAGAGUAGAGUGGCCCCUGACUCCCAGGCAAGAUGCCAGAUAUCACUGCUGGAGAAACACAGAAUACCAUGUUCAAAUGGAGCUUCCGUACUUUCCAAGAAGCCAAUGAGCAAACAAAUGAAAUAACCAAUAUUAUUUCAGCCAUGUGGCUAGUGUGCAAAUAGCAAGGAGUGCAAGAUGAUGCGUCAGAGGAAGUCAAGACCAGGCAUGCUGGGCUCUGUAGGCCAUGUUAGCAGUUUCACUUUGAAAUAAUAACAUCUUCAGAUGCACAUUUCUGGUCUUGGCCCAUGGGGCUCUCUCAUCCCUGCUUCCUUGCAUUCACCCAUGUUCCUCCACAGCCAUGUCACCCUGUGAACCCCACAUUCAAUGGACUGAUGGACUGCAAUGGGGAACAUAAACUAAACUAACCUGAUGCUGGACUGGAGUAUGAAGGCAUGGAAUGAAACCUCUGAACACUGACUCUAUUGAAACUACAGCUGCACUUCUUUUAUGGCAGGGCUGAGGGAGAGGGGACCUUAAAA